RNAcentral lists this transfer RNA (66 nucleotides) under Alvinocaris kexueae. RNAcentral describes it as "tRNA-Gly". The record is from RNAcentral. Lineage: Eukaryota; Metazoa; Arthropoda; Malacostraca; Decapoda; Alvinocarididae.
UAUUUUUCUAGUAUAAAAAGUAUAGCUGACUUCCAAUCAGCAGGUCUGGACUACCAGGAAAAAUAA